Pipra filicauda (Wire-tailed manakin) is the source of this 378-nucleotide long non-coding RNA. RefSeq lists it as uncharacterized. The transcript has 3 exons. NCBI's taxonomy places the organism in Eukaryota, Metazoa, Chordata, Aves, Passeriformes, Pipridae. The record is from RefSeq and is a predicted model, not a curated record.
GAGCGGCUCUCCCCGAUCCCCCCGUCUGACGUGGCCCGUGCACCAGGAGUGCUCUCCAAGCAUGUGUGAACGGUCUUUGCCAGACACAGCAAAAAUGGACUCUUGAUCUGACUUAGCACAGCCAGGAUUUACACCGUGGGGCUGACCACCAUCCUGACAUUCAGGGUGCCAAGAGACCUCUCCUCGUGCACAGCCUGCCUGUGCAGUCAGAGCGCAGCCCUCCCUCCCCUGCCACAGGCUGCAGCACCGCAACUGCUCUCCCUUCUGCAGCAAAGGUGCAUAAAUACUCCUCUGGCCUUUUUCUGCACAUCCUUGCAAAUAUAACACUCCAUGGCUAUAGAUCAAGAAAACUGAGGUGAGAAGUAAGAGAUGGCAAAA